CUGAAGAUUCUUGCAUAGACCUCUCCUCCGCACACGGCCAGUUCCUUUAGGGGAAGUAGGCCUUCCUUAGAUAUCUGGUAACCCUUGGAUGUCCGCUCAAGGUGGCUGGUGUUCUUGCCUGGAGAAUCCUGGGGACCGAGGAGCCUGGUGGGCUGCCGUCUAUGGGGUCGCACAGAGUCGGACACAACUACAGCGACUUAGCAGCAGCAGCAGUCAUAAAUUAUUGUGGUUUUCUUUUGAGAUUUCUCUAGAGAUUAUAAUAUGCAUCCUUGAUUUAAUACAGUCCAUCCUAACCUUUGUGCUAUUAUUGUCAUGUAUUUUAUUUAUAUGUUAUAAAUCCCACAAGACAUUAUUGUUACAUGAAGCAGGCAAAAGUAUUUCAUGUUUGUCCACAUAUUUACACCUUCUGAUGCUUUCCAUUUCUUCUUUCAGUCCUGUGCUUUCAAAUGAUCGUUACCUCCCAUUGUUUCAGCAGUAUGGAUCUGCUGGUAAACAUGUCUCACUUUGAUUUUUCUGAAAUUUUCUUUAUUUUGCUUUCAUUUUUGAUGAUAUUUCAAAUGAAUGUGGAAUUCUAGGUUGACAACAUUUAAUUUUAGCACUUUGAGAAUGUUAUUCCACUAUCUUUUGGCUUCUAUAACAUGUUGAAAAGUCAACCAGUAGUCCUAUGGUUGCUCAUUUGAAGCUAAUAUAUUUUUUCCCCUGGCUGCUUUUAAAAUUUCUCUCAAUCCUUGACUAUUAGACAUUGACAAAUAUAUGUCUAUGUAUGGUUUGUUUGUUCAUUUGCUUGUUUUAGUCCUGCUUAGAAUUUGCUGAGCUUCUCUUGGAUCUGGGAGAUGAUAUCUUAUCAACUUUGGAAAGUCUUGGCCAUUAUUUCUUCAAAUAUUAUUUCUGCUUCAAUUUAUUUCUCCUUGUCUUCUAGUACUUUGUUGAAAUAUGGUAGAUCUUUUAACUUUGUUUCAUGUGUCUCUAAUGCUCUGUUUUAUUUUUAUACAGGCUUUAUACCCAUGCUUGAAUUUGCGUAUUUUCUAUUGUACUAUCUUAGAAUCUAAUAAUCUUGUCUUCUCUGUUGAGUAUGCUGCUAAAUGUGUUCUCAACUUCAGUAUUUUGCCCAUCUAGUUUUUCUUUUUUGCAUGGAACCCCUAUCUCUGUUAAUAUUCCUUAUCCUUUCAUCCAUUUUCUUGCUUUUCUUCUAUUUCCUGUAAUAUAUUCAUCAAUUAGAAUCCUUGUUUGUUAGCUUCACUAUUUGAAUUAUUUGUAGGUCUGGUUCUAUUAUUUAUCUUUUCUUGAUUAGGAUUAUCAAUCAUCUUUUGCUAUUUUUUUUUGCUUGUCUUGUAAUGUUUUGUCAGACAUUGUAAAAAGCACUGAAGAGGCUCUAGGUGAUGCCCCACACUAGAAAGGGUUUACACUUUCCCUGUGAGGCAAUACAAUGAAGAGUUUAUCUUUGAGAGCGGUAGGGGUUACUUUUGAAAGACUUUAGUCUACUUCUCAUUUUUCCCUGUUCAUCAAACAUAGUCCAUCUGGGUUUUUGAUUAGAUCCUACAGGAUCUCUGUCUUCUCAGUCCUGAGAGUGGGAAAUUUAGUGCUGUACUUUGCAGUUUUAAACUUAGCUCUUUACCUUUCUCUCCUUGCCCUGUCUCAACUUUGAAACCUAAAAGAUGUCCCAAGGGGUACCUGGUUAUGUGUUUGAAUGGGAGGACCUCUUUCUCUGGUUGGACUUUUUCUUCUUAGCACCAUGAAUCUAGAGGAGAUUGUAUUAUGCCUUUUGGAAUUCUUCUGCCAAACUUCCCAGCCUUCUUUGCAUAGUCCCUGAACUCUGAAGAUGUCCUAUGGGGAAAACCAGUUGUGUUUAGCACUUCUCAAGUUUUUAGUUUCUCUCACCAGCCCCAUGAGAUUACCAAAAACCUCUCUGGUUUCUCUUUUCUCAAAAAAAUUAAUUCUUUACAAGUCAAGUUUAAUUCUCAGUCUGUGCCCAGAAUUGUUGGAUAUCCCCAAAGAAGAAAACAAAUGUAGUUCAUAUAGCCCUCAUUGCUUCCUUGUUCCCUGAGACCCUUAAAAAUGUAACUUUUGUAAUCUAGCUGGCUCUUUCUAGUUGUAGCAAUGGGAAUUAUAGCUCUUUAUAUCCCGUGACCUACCACGUUUAACUUAGGGACAGAAGUCCCCUGAUCCUUAUGUUUUGAGGAUAAAAGCCAAUCAAUAGGUUACAACUUCAAGAAUUGAAAAGGGCCAGAACCUGCCUAUAGUAGCUGGAUUCCAGGAAGUAGAAAGUUACAUUGGUUACCCAGACUUAAACUCUUAAUUUCAGAGGACAUGAGCAAAUAUGUAGCAUGGCUCCACUUGACGUGAGGAGGAAAGUGGUCAGAAUGAAUGGUGGCUCUUGAACAGAUCAUAUAUGUUUGCAGCAAUAACCAUAGCUAGCAGUGAUCAAAAUAGACUUUAUGCACAGGUAGGAAGGGAGUCCUCUCCUCUUUUUGUGCUGGGUAUUUAAACAGGAUUAAAUGUGACUCAAAAAAUUUUAAAAACACGUACUCUAUUUCACAGAGGGAAACUACUUUUUACACUGUUAUUUCUAGUAGUACAACCAGGUAGCUGGUUAUAAAAUUGACUCAGAAUUGUGGGACUUCAAGAAAUUUUAUAAAUGCCUUAAUAAUUUUAUUUUGCUUAAAUUGUCUUUUUCAUGUGUAUACAGAUAGACGCACAGAUACACAUAUAUAUGUGUACAUGUAUAUAUGUUUAUUCAUGUAUGUGCAUAAUACAGUUUUUACUCUACCCUCACUUUUCAGUCAUUAAUAAUAUAAAAUGGGUACUUAUUUUUUAAUUAUGCUUUUAAAUUCUAUUAUUCUUUUUCAAGAACAAUAUUGUUAUUGUAAGCUGGAUCCUUACCUCUUACACCUUGACUUUACUAGUUUUUAGAUCCUUUUUUUGCUUUGUGUUUUGGUCAGUUGAGGAUGCCUUACAUUAUUUCUUCUAAAAGAUAUUGGUAUUUUGUAAGAAGUUGCAUGCCUGACUAUGUCUCUUAUUGUCUUCAUGAACGAAAAAUAACUUUGAAAUCCUCAGACUACAGAUUUUUGUAUGACUACAGAUUUUUUAAUGACCCCAUCGCUGUCAUUCUCAACCUUGAGUGCACAUUGUCAUUUCCUGGGAGCUUUAAAAAUACUGAUCCCUGGGUCCCAUUCCCAGCAAUUCUGAUUUAAUUGAUCUGUGAUGUGGCCUGGAUAUCAGGAUUAAAAAUGAAAUAAAAUAAAAACAAUAAAAAAUA
This is a long non-coding RNA of Dama dama (fallow deer), 3256 nucleotides long. RefSeq lists it as uncharacterized. Lineage: Eukaryota; Metazoa; Chordata; Mammalia; Artiodactyla; Cervidae. The record is from RefSeq and is a predicted model, not a curated record. The transcript is spliced from 3 exons.